This 702-nucleotide long non-coding RNA is filed under the name Musa acuminata (dwarf banana). Its description in RNAcentral is "long non-coding RNA (MACU_LNC001519)". Lineage: Eukaryota; Viridiplantae; Streptophyta; Magnoliopsida; Zingiberales; Musaceae. The record is from RNAcentral.
UAAUAUUGGGCUCGCUGAGGCUGCCGCCUUAACUGGAUCGAGCCGGGCCGAUAGUGCGGCCCAAUUUGGUGAGCUGGGCAUCGCCGGUCCACGGCCGAUUCUUUUCGACCGGAUAUCACACGGAAGAUUUACCCUUUUCCUUACCUUUCCGUCUCUCAUAACCCGGCCCCACUAUGGGACCCAUAGCUAAUGGAGAUCCCGCCCCGUCGUUCGAAAGCCCCGCCUCGCUCCUCCUUCAUUUUUUAAAAGGGCUCGAUCCGAGACCACCGGAGGCUCUUCUUUCUCCCCGCCAUGGUAAGCCCUAACCCUGCUCCCUCCUCCGCACUUCGUGGAACCCUAAUCUCUCCCCGCUGGUUCUUCGUGGGUUCCUUCGACUCUCGUCUCGUCGAUCUUGUUCGUGCUAGGGGUAUCGAUCUCGGUGCCGGCGGUCGGAGCAAGAAGGCCAGACGCACCGCCCCAAGGUUCGACGAUGUCUACCUCAAGCUCCUUGUUAUGACCAGCUCCGCUCGGAUUGGUCUCAUUUCCACUUUUCUUGUUGGUUCUUGUGAUGGAUUUGGAGGUUUUCUUUGAUCGGCUCUGCAGGUUUCUAGUGUGGAGGACGGAAGCAAGUUUACCACGGCGAUACGAGAACGGCUCUUCACGAGCAAGAUUAACCAGCCGUCCGUAUCCCUCGACGGGCUUAUCAGUUUCACGGAAGGUAUG